CCGAGUUGGCCCAGGGAAAUUGAGUUGGUCAUUUGGACCGCAUCGUUCUCGGGGUAACCCUGCCCGAGCCACGUCCUUUCCACGGGGAGAAAACCCACGAGCCCAGAGCUCGGGCAGAAAACCCACGGCUCGAGCGAGACGAGCGAACGGCAGAGCCGUCGACCAAGACCCAGCGCCCCCGGCCGCCUCCGAGCUCCUCCGCCGGCGACAGAAGCGACGCCCCUGACCCCCUCUCUCCGGUGCUGACGAACCAAGCUCCGCCCCUCCAGCGACUGCGACGGACCGCGGCCGUCACUGUUCUCCUUCCCCAGAUCUCCCCUCCGCUUCCAAGGUCCGAUCCCCUCCGGCGACGGCGACGACGCCGGUUUCGCGGACGUAUUCAUCUCGUCUGAUCAAGGGUGUGGCCAGUACUCUGUUAUUCUCCUACAUAUAGCUGUAUAUGCAUCUAAAAGGGCAAGUACUUGGAUGACCUUGACAAUAUCAUACUGAUUGUAAUAACUUGCAUAAGACUCUGUAUUUGAAGAUGUCCCGGUCCUGCAUUAUUUGACAGAAUUACCAUUAAAGAAAAUUUAGGACAGAAAUAUAUUUCCAGGACAGUCCAGAGAAAAAGUCUGGUAUUUAUGGGGUAGCACUCAAACUACCGCUACGCACAAGGCUGGUAUUUCAAUUCGGUUUGCCAUACUUCUAGUUUUAUUUUAGGGUUCUUUAUAAAUAUAUGUAGGUAUUAUGAUCCAUUGCAAAUAUAAGGAGUGGAUAAGCUGAAACUAGAAUAAGCAUCUUUUUUGCUCUGAUGGAUCAGUUUCUCAUUGUUAAUAUUUAUAUAUUUUCUUCUGAGCACCUGUUUCUUCAUCAUAUAUAUGUGGGAAAAAGGAAAACUUCUAUGAUAGACAGUAGUAGUUUCAGACUGUCUACGAUCACAGUAAUUCAGAUUCUGAAGCUUGUAUUGUCCUUAAUGAGCUAGUAAUAAAAAGAUAACAACCUUCCGAGAGGUGUUGCCAAACCUGGGAUGUAGAUAAUCAAACAAAUGCAGGGCUGGAGACAAUUAUUUGCUGGUUUGAGCCUCAAUUACAUCCUGAUGACAGUCUUGCACAUUCAGUUUUACAUUCUGAACAUAAGCAACAUUACUAAAUCGCAUGCUCUGUUCAUGUUAAGUUGUUGAUUGCAAACGUCACAAGGCAGGAGAACACACAUUUUUUUUAUUCACAUAGUGUUCAUCAAUAUCUUUUAUACAUCAGUAAACUCAGCAUUCUACAGGAGAAUAAAGUUCAGAAGGAAAAACCAUCAAGAAAACAUCAACUAUACCCGAUUUCUUUUUUGAGUUUCUGAUUGUGUCGUCUUGCUGGGUGAAACAUGCCAACCAAGGAUAUGCGGCAGUCCAAUUCCCCUAUGCCAGCAAGCAUACAUGAUUCGGUUUACUAUACAAAAUAUGGAAUGCCUGUCCAGAUUAAAAAUAACAUUGCUGGAUAAAGAUCGGAGUUGGUUCUCGGUUGAAACUAAUUUGAAGCUUUGCAUUUUUCUUAUAGCUGGCUGAUAUACUUUUUAUUUUUAUAAAGUAUAUAUCUUUUACAUUCUGCAAUGAAGAAAAACUAUCAUGCCUAUAGUGCGAAGAUGUCUGUCCAAAGAUGCUUUAUUUGCUAAGCUACAUGAGUUUAUUCACAGUUCUUAUCUGAAAAAGAUAAGCGAACUGGCAGGUGGAUCAGCAGCAUUUGUCUAUGCUCGAAUAACCCUCUUGAGUUGGUAUGUGUGGCUUUCUUUCUAUUCAGUAGAGAAGGGGUCAGAUGUCAGAUUUGUCUAACCACUAGGACAGAAAAGUUCAUGCUUAUACUGAUGCUUGAAAAUUCAAUACUUAUUUGUGAUGCAGGUUCCCUUACCACAGGUUGACAGAAAUGUUCAAAAAGUUGACGGUGGAAGUAGUUCAGUAUGGAUAUAGUUCACAUAGUUGUGAUAUUUUUAGUGGAACAAAGUAUUGUUUCUUGCUGAACCUGUAACCAUAAUUAGCAUUUUCUCUUUUGAGACAUAGUUAGUAAACUAUAUUUAUCAUUGGUGUUGCACUAUUGGUCCGACUUUGGCAUGUCAGGUUAUAUGCAUGUGUGGAUGCAAGUUGAAUAUUUGUUCUCUUGCGAACUGUGUAUUUAAUAUAUUUUUUCGUUCAAAUUUC
Triticum aestivum (bread wheat) is the source of this 2158-nucleotide long non-coding RNA. RefSeq lists it as uncharacterized. The transcript is spliced from 2 exons. The record is from RefSeq and is a predicted model, not a curated record. Lineage: Eukaryota; Viridiplantae; Streptophyta; Magnoliopsida; Poales; Poaceae.